This 503-nucleotide ribosomal RNA is filed under the name uncultured bacterium. Its description in RNAcentral is "partial 16S ribosomal RNA". It matches the Rfam family "Bacterial small subunit ribosomal RNA", at positions 28 to 523 of the family's 1533-position model. The record is from RNAcentral.
GAUGAACGCUAGCGGCAGGCCUAACACAUGCAAGUCGAGGGGUAGCAGGAUUAAGCUUGCUUAAUUGCUGACGACCGGCGCACGGGUGCGUAACGCGUAUGCAACCUACCUUAUACUGGGGUAUAGCCCGGAGAAAUUCGGAUUAAUCCCCCAUAGUACUAAUGAAUCGCAUGGUUUAUUAGCUAAAGCAUUGCGGUAUAAGAUGGGCAUGCGUCCUAUUAGCUAGAUGGUGAGGUAACGGCUCACCAUGGCUACGAUGGGUAGGGGGCCUGAGAGGGUGGUCCCCCACACUGGUACUGAGACACGGACCAGACUCCUACGGGAGGCAGCAGUGAGGAAUAUUGGUCAAUGGGCGCAAGCCUGAACCAGCCAUGCCGCGUGCAGGAAGAAUGCCCUAUGGGUUGUAAACUGCUUUUAUUUGGGAAUAAACCUCUUUACGUGUAGAGAGCUGAAGGUACCAAAUGAAUAAGCACCGGCUAACUCCGUGCCAGCAGCCGCAGUAA